This 69-nucleotide transfer RNA is filed under the name Pachydactylus caraculicus. RNAcentral's name for it is "tRNA-Ala". The record is from RNAcentral. RNAcentral also lists the same sequence under 1 other name. Lineage: Eukaryota; Metazoa; Chordata; Lepidosauria; Squamata; Gekkonidae.
UGAGGCUUUAGCUUAAUUAAAGCUACUGGGUUGCAGCCAGUGGAUGCGAAUUAGAGUUUUGCAGGCCUU